This 361-nucleotide ribosomal RNA is filed under the name uncultured bacterium. Its description in RNAcentral is "partial 16S ribosomal RNA". It matches the Rfam family "Bacterial small subunit ribosomal RNA", at positions 338 to 696 of the family's 1533-position model. The record is from RNAcentral.
UCUACGGGAGGCAGCAGUGAGGAAUAUUGGUCAAUGGGCUUACGCCUGAACCAGCCAAGUCGCGUGAGGGAAGACUGCCCUAUGGGUUGUAAACCUCUUUUGUCAGGGAGCAACGCCGGCUACGUGUAGCCGGACUGAGAGUACCUGAAGAAAAAGCAUCGGCUGACUCCGUGCCAGCAGCCGCGGUAAUACGGAGGAUGCGAGCGUUAUCCGGAUUUAUUGGGUUUAAAGGGUGUGUAGGGGGAAUGCCAAGUCAGCGGUACAAUCGCGGGGCACAACCUCGCUCCGCCGUUGAACCUGGCGUUCUUGAGUGGGCGAGAAGUAUGCGGAAUGCGUGGUGGAGCGGUGAAAUGCAUAGAUA